Eriocheir sinensis (Chinese mitten crab) is the source of this 3755-nucleotide RNA transcript. RefSeq lists it as uncharacterized. The transcript has 5 exons. The record is from RefSeq and is a predicted model, not a curated record. Lineage: Eukaryota; Metazoa; Arthropoda; Malacostraca; Decapoda; Varunidae.
CCAGAUGUGUGACAGGGGUGUGGACGAGACUUUGCAGCAUGUAGUGCUGGAAUGUAAGAAGUAUGACAGGGAGAGAACGAAGAUGAUGCAUGUGUUUUUGAGUGAGAUGGGACGUGGAGUAAACGGGAGGACUGGAAGGGAGUGGAUGGUGCUGCUGCUGGGGCUCAGUGGAGAGACGAGUGGACGAGUGAUUGAGGCAGUGAAAGAGUUCUUGGAGGGCAUGUGGCGUGAAAGAUAUAGGGAAUGAUAUCUUGCCCCGAGAACAUAGACUUUCCGCAUGUUUUUUGUUUUCUUUUCACAGGAGCUGCCGAUACAAAGGCCUGGCUGGGGAGAAAUCCCGAGCCACCUGUGACAUCAAGAUCAAGAUCAAGAUCAUUUCAACAAUAACAAACCUGAUAUUCCCUUAUUUAAACUCUCACAGACACUUAAAUAGGUGGAACUAAGUGUAAAAAAGUGUUUAACGUACUUAUAUGUGGUACUUAACACUUAUAAGACCUUAAAAUAGCUAAAUAAAGGCUCCAUAAAUACGAGACUUGGCACCGUUGCACCAGCUCAACCAGGACCAAGAUCAAGUGUAGCUGCCGGCGGACAUCUUGAAGACAUCCUCGCCGAUUUCCUGCUCGUGCUGAGAAGUGGAUGAAGGAGCAGCCGCCUGUGGGACGCAUCCUUCAUCUGCUGAGUGGACAGCUCUGUCGCAUCCACAUCAGCAUCCAGGCAGCCCUUAGGUCCGCCAGGGCUGGUCGAGGUGCUUCCGUUGAGUUCUACGUGAAGGCCUAACAGGUAGUUUGAGAGCAGGCGCAGUUGCUGUAGCUUAGCCGUUAGACCACCGCGGUGCCAACGCUCCAGCUACGUCCAGGCAAUCACAAGAGAGGGCUGGGCAUCACCAAGGGCGCCAUGCCAGGACUUUGAGAGGAGGCGGAGGAGGAGGUCUGAGGUGGAGCGGCCCUUCUGAAAACCAAAACGCUUCAGUGACUCCAGGCGGAUCCCCUCGAGGAAGGAUGUCAGCUGCUCCCCGAUGAUCCUCUCAAGUAUCCUGCCGAUGACUGGGAGGAGCUAUUGGAUGUUUUCUUGUCCAGGCUUGUCUGUGUAGGGCCCUGUUUUCCUGUGUGGGGUGCUGGUGUGCUGGACGGUGCUGGUCUGGCGGAGAUGCCGUGCUGUGGGUCACCGUUAAGGACUGUACCCCGUGCUGUGACCUCGGUGAAGACCCUCGCCUCCAGGUGUUGAUGUAGGUCGCCCACAACCAUUGCGUACUGACACCUGUGGGCAGCCUUGAGGUCACCCAAGUGCUCUGUGAGAUAGAUGGCGGGGCGCUGCUUUCCUUCCGCCCUUCCUUCCUUCCUUCCUUCCCUCCUUCCUUCCGCCCUUCCCUCCUCCCUUCCUCCCUCCUUCCUUCCUUUCUUCCUUCCUUCCUUCCUUCCCUCCCUCCCUCCCUCCCUCCUCCUCCUCCUCCUUCCUUAUAUAAGUUUAAGUAAGUGCAGAAAUCUUACUUAUUAACUCCCAUGUGCUACUUAACACUUAUAAGACCAAUGUUAUUAUUAUUAUUAUUAUUGCAGAGAGAGAGAGAGAGAGAGAGAGAGAGAGAGAGAGAGAGAGAGAGAGAGAGAGAGAGAGAGAGAGAGAGAGAGAGAGAGCUCACCAGGACAAGGUUUAGGAGUUGAAGUUGUCUUUGAAUUUUGGAUAUUUUUAUGUUGGAAAGUUUUUAGUUAAGUACAAAUUUCUCCUGAACUAUAAGGUUGUGAGCACUGCCAGUUAUAGGUGUUGUAGGUGAGUGUUAGGAGCAUCUUGUGUUAGAAUCUUGUGUUCCUAACUGUUGUGGAUUCUGAGAUAUUGCCAGUUAGAGUUGACACACACACACACACACACACACACACACACACACACUAACUCUGUGAUGGUUCUUGCAGGGAAGGAGCCGAGAUGAGACCAGACUCAGCCCUCCAGUGAGCCCAGGAGACCACCAGGGGGACACCCACGCACCUCAUGGCUUGGGGGGGGUCACAUGGAGGCGGUGGAUCAUUUUGGAGAACUACUCUUUCCCCGGGCACUGAUUCUCACACGCCCAACGGAGGUGGUCCUGGAGGCCUGUGCAUUGGUGUGGGUGGCGCUGAUGCUGUUGAUGUUAUGGCCGACAUUUCCUGGGAGCUGAAGUGCCCUAAGCUCCGGAAAACGUUGAAAGGAAGAACCAAAGGAAGGAAGGAAGACCAUCUCAGAAGACCCCAGAGUCAGCCCCUACAGUCCAUCACAGUCCAAGAAAUAGCUGAAGGAAGUCCCAAGUCCAAGCAACCUUCCUUUCUUUCUGAUUCAAGUCGUCUUUACCUUCAGCGAGGGGGCAAAGCGACCAUGGACCUCUCCCUUCCCUUCCUUUUCUUUCCCUUCCCUUCCUUUUCUUUCCCUUCCCUUCCUUCCUUCCUUUCCCUUCCCUUCCCUUCCUUCCUUCCCGUCCCUUCCAUUUCCUUCCCUUCCCUUUCCUUCCCUUCCCUUCCCUUCCUUCCUUCCUUCCUUCCUUUCCCCUCCCUUCCCUUUCCUUCCCUUCCCUUCCUGUCCCUUUCCUUCCCUUCCUGUCCCUUUCCCUCCCUGUCAUCAGCCACACUGUGUCUGCCAUCCAUGUCUUGCAGCAGGCCAGCCAUUCUGACUUGAUCUUCUUCCUUCCAAACAAGCAGUCACUCUCCUCCUCAGCACAUGACCCAGAAGCUUCACUUGUCCUAUGCUUUUCAUCAAGUGCCUGGCUGUCUGCUGCUGCUCUUUGUCAUAGAGUUAAGUUGUCAUUAUCUUAGUUAGUUAGUUAGUUAGAGGUCCAGAUAAUUGUUGUAUGGGCAAGACUCCUGUCCCUCCCUCUCCUUCCCUCCCUUCCUCUCCCUCAAGUUCCCAGUCUGUGGAGGUCCAGAUAAUUGUUGUAUGGGCAAGACUCCUGUCCCUCCCUCUCCUUCCCUCCCUUCCUCUCCCUCAAGUUCCCAGUCUGUGGAGGUCCAGAUAAUUGUUGUAUGGGCAAGACUCCUUCCCUCCCUCUCCUUCACUCCCUUCCUCUCCCUCUCCCCCAAGUUCCCAGUCUGCAGAGGUCCAGAUAAUUGUUGUAUGGGCAAGACUCCUGUCCCUCCCUCUCCCUUCCUUUCCAGUCUUUCUCUCUUGUUCCAUUAUUUAUUUUCUCUCCCUCCCUCUUUCUUUGCUCUCUCCCUUCUUUCAUCUCCUCUCCCUUCAGCCGCAUUAUCGUCUUCCUUCUAAUCCAUAGCAUUUUCUCUCUCCCUUUUACAUCUGCUUUAUUUCCUUCUCUCUCUCUCUCUCUCUCUCUCUCUCUCUCUCUCUCUCUCUCUCUCUCUCUCUCUCUCUCUCUCUCUCUCUCCAAACCCAUUGGAAUAACAAUAAUAAUAAUAACACACACUACAAGUCCAUCUUUAUUUAUCAACAGCACACACACACACACACACACACACACACACACACACAGGGGAGGUCAUGUGGCUAUCUAUGGUGUGGGUUGGGUUGCUGUCUAAGAGGGCAUGUGUCUGUAGGGUGACAUCCUGUUGACCUUGUGACCUGAGACAGAGUGGGGGGGGGGUCCUUUUAUGUGGCUGGGGGGUAGGUGUCUGUGGGGAUUGUCAACAUACUGUGGUAGGACAUCCUGUAGGGUCCUGUGGGCUGUGGUGAGGUGAGGUGAGGUGAUAUAUAUAUAUAUAUAUAUAUAUAUAUAUAUAUAUAUAUAUAUAUAUAUAUAUAUAUAUAUAUAUAUAUAUAUAUAUAUAUAUAUAUAUAUAUAUAUA